UAACGAAUCUUCCGCAAUGCGCGAAAGCGUGACGGAGCAAUGCCGCGUGUGGGAUGAAGCGGUUACGCCGUGUAAACCACUGUCAGGGUCGAGGAAGAACUGACCAGACCCAGAGGAAGGGCCGGCUAAUCUCGUGCCAGCAGCCGCGGUAAUACGAGAGGCCCAAGCGUUAGGCGGAAUCACUGGGCUUAAAGGGUGCGCAGGCGGACAGGCAGGCAUCUCGUGAAAUCCCUCGGCUCAACCGAGGAAUUGCGGGGUGAACCGCCUGUCUUGAGGAAGGCAGAGGCUGUCGGAACGUUCGGUGGAGCGGUGAAAUGCGUAGAUAUCGAACGGAACGCCGAAGGGGUAGCCAGGCAGCUGGGCCUUACCUGACGCUCAGGCACGAAAGCGUGGGGAUCAAACAGGAUUAGAUACCCCCGUAGUCC
RNAcentral lists this ribosomal RNA (425 nucleotides) under uncultured prokaryote. RNAcentral's name for it is "bacterial SSU rRNA". It matches the Rfam family "Bacterial small subunit ribosomal RNA", at positions 355 to 796 of the family's 1533-position model. The record is from RNAcentral.